Long non-coding RNA from Eleginops maclovinus (Patagonian blennie), 2418 nucleotides. RefSeq lists it as uncharacterized. Lineage: Eukaryota; Metazoa; Chordata; Actinopteri; Perciformes; Eleginopidae. The transcript is spliced from 3 exons. The record is from RefSeq and is a predicted model, not a curated record.
UUAGCGUUAGCAUUAGCCUGGCUAACUAGCUAGCGUUAGUUUUGCUUGUUGAGUUUAUUCAUAUCGGAAGCAGGAUAUUAGAUUGUACAAACAGUAUAACUGAUGUAAGAACAGAUUAAACCUCCAGGUUUUAUCUACAAUGUCUCCUAAUGAACGGUCCCUGUCUAUACAGUAAUUGUUACAGUCAAGUUCAGAGGAAGAAGACGUUUUACUUUAAUCUGCCACUUUCACCUGGAUACUGCUUCUGGAAACUUCGACUAUCUACUAACAAGACCUGGUCGUACUCGCUGAGCGACGCCAGGAAGAUGAGCGAGGUGACGUUUUCAAAACAGUGAAUCCACUUCCUGCGCUCCGACUUCUGACCGCCCACAUCCACAAUCCUGCCAGAGAGGAGGAAGAGAAAGGAAAGCUGGAUGUGGCUUUAUGAGCUGCUGCUGUCUCGUUCGCAGGCUGGGCGUAGCUGUGUGCAUGACACAUAGGUAUUACCAUCGUUCAUUUAUCUGUCAGCUGUUCCGGAGCGCAGAGCCAAAACAAACCUUCUCUUUACUUUAGUUUGUUUGAAUUGAUAGUUAUCCCUAGUCAUUUAAGAGCAGGUGUAAUUUAAUUUAGGAACACAUGAAGAACUUUGAUCUCUUGUCUGCUCAGCUGGAGUCAGUUCCCUCUCUGGUUUCAGAAAGAAACGACACGGGUUAGAAAUAAACGUUCCCCUGAAGAGACUUUAAUCUCCAUCAGAAAUCUGAUCCUGUGGCAGACAAAGCUUCUGCGUGAGUCAACAGUGAGUUUUUCCUCUAUGCAGAGAAUAGUGCAGAGUGAGCAGCAGGAAGAGGACGAGAGGAGACUUUGUCCCCUGUCUCCGGCUGCUGUGGGAAACAGAUGAUGAUCAAUGAUUAACGCGGGGAUGAACUGGAGGUGAUGGAGCACCUCCGUCUCUUCAUGUUUUCUCUCUUCGAACUAUGAAUUCACUUCUACGAAUGGUUCCCAUCCUUUAUCAGGCUUGAGACCUACAUCUCAGAGCAUAUUAUACUUUAUAUAGCAGAUUCAGGUUAAUAUACAACAUCUAAUCCAACACAGAGUAUUUGGAGUAUUUAGUCUACUUUUAAUGAGGACUUUAAAUGAAUUGUGUUUUACUGAACCCACCUCCUGCAACUACAUCUCACGUCCACAAGAUGUCACCUGACUCUGCAGUAUUUUCUGGUAGCCUAAGAUUUAAAUACAGAGAGGAAACAUGGGGGAAAACAAUUUGACUUUACUUCGGUCAUAAUCCCCAUCAGAUAAAAGUGGCAUAUCAAAAGGAUAAAUAACAAGUCCUUACCUGACAUAGAAGAGAAGUUGGCUUAGUUAAUAAAAAGAAAGUACAAUUUAAACAAGCAUUUUACAGUUGUAUUCACAUUUUCAAAACAUCUUUACUGCAGUGGUUGAAAGUAGCCUAAAAUAAAGUAGUAAUGAUUUACUUGAUUAUUCACAUUUCCUGCUUCUUUAUUCAGGUUGUAUUGUCACUUGGAUUUUCACAAGAUGUAAGUCUGUCUUAAGUCCACACCAUCCAGAGUAAUACAAUGAUAAUUGUGCAUCUUUAAAUCUUACAAUAAGUGCAGUUAUAAAAAUGAGUAAUCGACGGUCCUUCCACUGGCAAUACAAAGAAAGGGUCUGAAUAUUUCUACUGCUGUGUGUCUGGACACCUGAAAAACCUCCCAAACAGAAUAUUAUACAUAACAUGUAAAUUCCAAAGUUAAAGAACCAGUAUUUCAGAGUAGUAGGCUCCUUAAGUACUUGAGUAAAUGUGCUCCUCUCUGUUUGCAGACAGAUGAUCUAAUAUAAACGUGUGAAGCUCAGAGGCGACAGUAAAGAUCAACAGCUGUAGGCUAGCAGUAAGGAUGAGCUCACAGUGCGUGGAUUUAACACUUAAUUAAAGAAGAUAUUUUACACAGUAGGACUCAAAAUAAAACAUUAACAACACAAGUGCAGUCUUCAAGGGUUUGAGUGUAUAUUUUUGAGUCCUUUAAAUAUUUUAUGCAUUCUACAUAUUCAUUAAGUUCCUUUUUAAAUUCAUGCAAGACUUGGUAUUUGGUACUUAAGGGUCAAAAUAAAAUACUUUCUGCACUAUAAAUCAAGCGUUCUAGGGAAGACAUCCCUAAGGCUGAAAGAAAAUCUGUAAAUGAAAUAUGUUUGAAUGAUGUCGAGGAAGAAAAUGUCUCUGUUUAAUAACAAUUCUACAACAAACAUUUUGCAUCUGAAUUCAUAAAGAAUACGCAUUAAAGAAAGACGUUGCUGCUCAGAACCUGUGAGUGUAUUUAAAUGUAACUUAUUUCACUUGAUUUGUAAGAAAAACCUUGAGAGGUUCUUAUGAACAUCUGGACGAACAAAGGUUUGCUGGAAAUGUUUUGUUUAACAAAUGUAUUCGUCUAUAUUUUCCCCCAUUUU